RNAcentral lists this ribosomal RNA (486 nucleotides) under uncultured bacterium. Its description in RNAcentral is "partial 16S ribosomal RNA". It matches the Rfam family "Bacterial small subunit ribosomal RNA", at positions 29 to 507 of the family's 1533-position model. The record is from RNAcentral.
AUUGAACGCUGGCGGCAUGCCUUACACAUGCAAGUCGAACGGCAGCACGGGUGCUUGCACCUGGUGGCGAGUGGCGAACGGGUGAGUAAUACAUCGGAACAUGUCCUGUAGUGGGGGAUAGCCCGGCGAAAGCCGGAUUAAUACCGCAUACGAUCUACGGAUGAAAGCGGGGGACCUUCGGGCCUCGCGCUAUAGGGUUGGCCGAUGGCUGAUUAGCUAGUUGGUGGGGUAAAGGCCUACCAAGGCGACGAUCAGUAGCUGGUCUGAGAGGACGACCAGCCAAAAUGGGACUGAGACACGGCCCAGACUCCUACGGGAGGCAGGAGUGGGGAAUUUUGGACAAUGGGCGGAAGCCUGAUCCAACAAUGCCGCGUGUGUGAAGAAGGCCUUCGGGUUGCAAAGCACUUUUGUCCGGGAAGGAAACCUUUGCCCUAAUACCGGCGGGGGAUGACGGUACCGGAAGAAUAAGCACCGGCUAACUACGUG